AGAGUGUAGUGCAGCCAAGGAUGACUUGCCGGCAUUAGUGAAGUUGAUGAACAUCAUAACUCAUUUUCUUGCCGGCAAGUUGGCCUUGGCUAUAUUGUGUUCUCU
Cajanus cajan (pigeon pea) is the source of this 105-nucleotide non-coding RNA. The record is from Rfam. Lineage: Eukaryota; Viridiplantae; Streptophyta; Magnoliopsida; Fabales; Fabaceae.